AAUUAUAUUAGGUAUCUAUGUAUCUAUCUUCCCAAGAACAAACACUUCACAUCUCCAUCUUCUAUCUCAUAACAUACAUAAACAUAGAAUAUAUUCUUCAAUUCUCGGAUGAACAUUACAUUAUUAUAAUUAUAAUCUAGCAUUGUUGCAUGGCUAGUGGUGCACCAUUUUCUUCUUUUGUGACACUUUUCUUCUUUUCGUUGCUCUUAGCUUUUCACUUUUCUAUGGCUAUUCCAAUAAAACACACCUUCUUCACUCCUUUAACUUCAAGCAAGAGGAACACUUUGAAUACCAUGGUAGUAGCUUCACCUUCACCUUCAAGAGAAGCCACUAAGAAGAACAAUAAUGUUCUUGAUGAUCCACUUAGAAGAGCUUCACGACCUCCAUCAUUUCAAUGGCGAAAUAAGAUCUUCAACGUAAGUGAACAUGAAGUUCCUAGUGGUCCAAACCCUAUCUCAAACAGGUAAAUAUAAAUUUAAAUUAGAAAAAAAUAAUAAUGUUCUAGCUAAGAGAGGUUUAAUUUAUGGUGGUUUUCACUUUUCAGGGUUUUCUUUUAAGCUUUAUGCCUUCUUCCUUUUUUAUAUUAUUUUAUUUUCCAAUUUUUGUUGGUCCAUAAUAUAUUAUUAUUCUUUAGUUUCCAUUUGCAAAAUUAUUAAAGAGAAUUGGGUUUGGAUCGGAGAUUCUAGGGAUUUUUUCAGAAUAGCAUGCAGCAGCAGAUUGGUGUGAGUAAUGAUGAAGUUCUCUUCAUAUGAUUGUGUAAAAACUGAACCGCACG
RNAcentral lists this long non-coding RNA (775 nucleotides) under Arachis ipaensis. RNAcentral describes it as "long non-coding RNA (AIPA_LNC000902)". The record is from RNAcentral. Lineage: Eukaryota; Viridiplantae; Streptophyta; Magnoliopsida; Fabales; Fabaceae.